AGUAGAGCGGCGGACGGGUGAGUAACGCGUAGGAAUCUGCCCGAUAGUGGGGGACAACAGUCGGAAACGACUGCUAAUACCGCAUACGCCCUAAGGGGGAAAGCAGGGGAUCUUCGGACCUUGCGCUAUCGGAUGAGCCUGCGUCGGAUUAGCUUGUUGGUGGGGUAAUGGCCUACCAAGGCGACGAUCCGUAGCUGGUCUGAGAGGAUGAUCAGCCACACUGGGACUGAGACACGGCCCAGACUCCUACGGGAGGCAGCAGUGGGGAAUAUUGGACAAUGGGGGAAACCCUGAUCCAGCCAUGCCGCGUGUGUGAAGAAGGCCUUCGGGUUGUAAAGCACUUUCAGUAGGGAGGAAAAGUUGAUGGCUAAUACCCAUCAGCCCUGACGUUACCUACAGAAGAAGCACCGGCAAACUCCGUGCCAGCAGCCGCGGUAAUACGGAGGGUGCGAGCGUUAAUCGGAAUUACUGGGCGUAAAGCGCGCGUAGGCGGU
This 494-nucleotide ribosomal RNA is filed under the name uncultured Gammaproteobacteria bacterium. Its description in RNAcentral is "bacterial SSU rRNA". It matches the Rfam family "Bacterial small subunit ribosomal RNA", at positions 89 to 579 of the family's 1533-position model. Lineage: Bacteria; Pseudomonadati; Pseudomonadota; Gammaproteobacteria. The record is from RNAcentral.